CAGCAGGGGUCGCGAAAGUGCCGUGUUUAGGGCGUAUUGCGCAUUCUUCUGACACCAUACUCUCGAAUCGGAGUUUGUUGUUUUUCUUCGGUAAACAUCUGAGUUUAAGGAGCGGGUUUACCGGAUGAGAAAACCAAAGGAACUCGUUAAACAGGGUUUCCAUUCUAAAUCGUAGGGAAAGACAUCCAAAAUGAGUUCCUCCACUCAGCUGGACUCGGAGAAUUCUGAAAGAAAGAGUUCAGAGUCACUAGAACCCAGCUGUAUGUCCAUGAAGAGUGAUCGGUCAAUGCACGAGCCCUUAAAAUUCAGAGACGAACAAAGUUCUGCUGAACUCAAAUGUUUUUGUCUGACACAGGAAGAGAUCAGUCACCAGAACCCAGCUGUGUGUCCAUGAAGAGUGAUCGGUCAAUGCACGAGCCCUUAAAAUUCAGAGAGGAACAAAGUUCUACUGAGCUCGGUGUCCAAAAGAGUAGAGCAGACAGAAAAAAGCAAAGUUGAAGUCUGUAUUCAAGGCCGUGGGGGUGUAAUCUGACAGCGGAAAGCUGUAAAGUUCUGUCCUCAGUUCUCAGCUCAAACUCCUCCAGACUGAGAGAACUGGACCUGAGUGGAAAUAAACUGCAGGAUUCAGGAGUGAAGCUGCUCUCUGCUGGACUGGAGAAUCCACACUGUACACUGGAGAUACUGAGGCUGGAACGUUGCGGUAUUACAGGUGAAGGCUGUGCUGCUCUGGUUUCAGCUCUGAGGUCAAUCUCCUCAUCACACCUGAGAGAACUGAAUCUGAAACACAAUAAUCCAGGAGAAUCAGGAGUGAAGCUGCUCUCUGAUCUACUGAAGGAUCCACACUGUAAACUGGAGACACUACAAUGAGUUACUGAGAUUCUUAAAUAAAUCUACAAGGUAAUGGAUGCUUAUUGGUCUAACCUGAGAUAUCAAGAUAUCAGAUGAUGUAAUCAGCUGCAGUCUCCACUUUACUGAGGAGCUACAUGAAUCCAAACUGAAGAAACCAGGUGAUGAUGUGACUGCUCUUACCCAAGACACAACCUGCUCUGAAAAUAUUUUCUGGAAACUUUAAUCUAUCAAUCACAGAAGAAUGACUUCUUUCAGAGAAAGGAACUGGACUCUUGUUAUUUUCCUUAAAGGAGACACUAGAACUAAUCUAGCCAGAUACAGAUGAUUUUGCUCUGUAAAAUCAUUCAACAGACAUGUUCACAAGUCCCUGAGGUCCAAGUCAAGUCACAAGUCAUAAGUGCGACUUGAGUCCAGGUGGUAGACUUGAGUUUCCAUCUCUGUAAUUCAAUGGCACUUUAUUAUUCUGCUGAUAACAUGAUCAGGGUUAAAGAUUUUCUGUGUGGUGCAUUUUGACAAAUUAAGGCUAACUGCAAUCUUAAACGACAGCGGCUGGUCUGUUCAGGUUUAAGUUAAAUGCUGUGAUCAGAUAUCUUUGAAUGGCCAGUUAAUGGUAUUAAUAAAACAAAUUGUGUGACCUUCAAUAAAUACAAAA
This is a long non-coding RNA of Ictalurus punctatus (channel catfish), 1501 nucleotides long. RefSeq lists it as uncharacterized. The transcript has 8 exons. Lineage: Eukaryota; Metazoa; Chordata; Actinopteri; Siluriformes; Ictaluridae. The record is from RefSeq and is a predicted model, not a curated record.